This 261-nucleotide ribosomal RNA is filed under the name Escherichia coli. RNAcentral describes it as "partial 16S ribosomal RNA". It matches the Rfam family "Bacterial small subunit ribosomal RNA", at positions 880 to 1141 of the family's 1533-position model. Lineage: Bacteria; Pseudomonadati; Pseudomonadota; Gammaproteobacteria; Enterobacterales; Enterobacteriaceae. The record is from RNAcentral.
GUACGGCCGCAAGGUUAAAACUCAAAUGAAUUGACGGGGGCCCGCACAAGCGGUGGAGCAUGUGGUUUAAUUCGAUGCAACGCGAAGAACCUUACCUGGUCUUGACAUCCACGGAAGUUUUCAGAGAUGAGAAUGUGCCUUCGGGAACCGUGAGACAGGUGCUGCAUGGCUGUCGUCAGCUCGUGUUGUGAAAUGUUGGGUUAAGUCCCGCAACGAGCGCAACCCUUAUCCUUUGUUGCCAGCGGUCCGGCCGGGAACUCA